Molecule: non-coding RNA, 72 nt
Organism: Chelonia mydas (Green sea turtle)
Lineage: Eukaryota; Metazoa; Chordata; Testudines; Cheloniidae
Source: Rfam
GGCAGUAUGGUGCAGUGGAUAGAACACUGGACUGGGGCUCAGGAGGCCUGGGUUCUAUUUCCAGCUCUGCCC